CCGUGGCAGUGACGGUUAACGGGGGAUUAGGGUUCGAUUCCGGAGAGGGAGCCUGAGAAACGGCUACCACAUCUAAGGAAGGCAGCAGGCGCGCAAAUUACCCAAUUCUAACAGUUUGAGAGAGGUAGUAACAAGAAAUAACAAUACAAGGCAGUUAAAAUGCUUUGUAAUUGGAAUGAUAGAAAUUUAAACCCUUUUUAAAGUAUCAAUUGGAGGGCAAGUCUGGUGCCAGCAGCCGCGGUAAUUCCAGCUCCAAUAGCGUAUAUUAAAAUUGUUGCAGUUAAAAAGCUCGUAGUUGAAGUUCUGCUGAAAGUAACCGGUCUGCUUUUAAUAAAAGUGGUAUCUUGGUAUGUAUUUAGCAAUGAUGUCCUUUGAAGUGUUUUUUACUUUAUUGUAAUAAAGCAUAUUCAGGACUUUUACUUUGAAAAAAUUAGAGUGUUUCUAGCAGGCUAACGCUUUGAAUACUGCAGCAUGGAAUAAAUAAG
RNAcentral lists this ribosomal RNA (485 nucleotides) under Hepatozoon canis. Its description in RNAcentral is "SSU rRNA". It matches the Rfam family "Eukaryotic small subunit ribosomal RNA", at positions 344 to 822 of the family's 1831-position model. Lineage: Eukaryota; Apicomplexa; Hepatozoidae. The record is from RNAcentral.